Myotis lucifugus (little brown bat) is the source of this 94-nucleotide small nuclear RNA. Lineage: Eukaryota; Metazoa; Chordata; Mammalia; Chiroptera; Vespertilionidae. The record is from Ensembl.
GAUCAAUGAUUCUCUCUCAUUAUUGACACAGAGCAGAUUAGCAUGGCCCCUGUGCAAGGGUGACAUGCAAAUCCAUGAAGUGUUCCAUCUACAA